UCGGGAAUUUUGGGCAAUGGGCGAAAGCCUGACCCAGCAACGCCGCGUGAAGGAUGAAGUAUUUCGGUAUGUAAACUUCGUAAGAAUAGGAAGAAUAAAUGACGGUACUAUUUGUAAGGUCCGGCUAACUACGUGCCAGCAGCCGCGGUAAUACGUAGGGACCAAGCGUUGUUCGGAUUUACUGGGCGUAAAGGGUGCGUAGGCGGCAUAUCAAGUCACUUGUGAAAUCUCCGGGCUUAACUCGGAACUGCCAAGUGAUACUGAUGUGCUAGAGUGCAGAAAGGGCAACUGGAAUUCUUGGUGUAGCGGUGAAAUGCGUAGAUAUCGGAAGGAACAUCAGUUGCGAAGGCGGCUCUCUGGACUCAAACUGACGCUGAGGCACGAAAGCGUGGGUAGCGAACAGGAUUAGAUACCCUCGUAGUCCCUGAGCGGGCUGGCAAGGCGCAU
This 447-nucleotide ribosomal RNA is filed under the name uncultured bacterium. RNAcentral describes it as "bacterial SSU rRNA". It matches the Rfam family "Bacterial small subunit ribosomal RNA", at positions 355 to 825 of the family's 1533-position model. The record is from RNAcentral.